RNAcentral lists this small RNA (553 nucleotides) under Aspergillus sp. 1 MS-2015. RNAcentral describes it as "eukaryotic LSU rRNA". The stretch from base 222 to 375 matches the Rfam family "5.8S ribosomal RNA". Lineage: Eukaryota; Fungi; Ascomycota; Eurotiomycetes; Eurotiales; Aspergillaceae. The record is from RNAcentral.
UGAACCUGCGGAAGGAUCAUUACCGAGUGCGGGCCCUCUGGGUCCAACCUCCCAUCCGUGUCUAUUGUACCCUGNUUGCUUCGGCGGGCCCGCCUCCCCCUUCCCGGGGGGAGGCCGCCGGGGGGCCUUCUCUGCGCCCCCGGGCCCGCGCCCGCCGGAGACUUACAUCUCGAACGCUGUCUGAAGGUUGCAGUCUGAGUUUUGAUUAAAACAAUCGUUAAAACUUUCAACAACGGAUCUCUUGGUUCCGGCAUCGAUGAAGAACGCAGCGAAAUGCGAUAAGUAAUGUGAAUUGCAGAAUUCAGUGAAUCAUCGAGUCUUUGAACGCACAUUGCGCCCCCUGGUAUUCCGGGGGGCAUGCCUGUCCGAGCGUCAUUGCUACCCUCAAGCAACGGCUUGUGUGUUGGGCCACCGUCCCGGUGUCUUUGGGCACUGGGACGGGCCCGAAAGGCAGCGGCGGCAUCCGUGUCCGGUCCUCGAGCGUAUGGGGCUCUGUCACCCGCUCCUGUAGGUCCGGCCGGCUGGCCAGCCUCGCACCCAACCUUUUUUAAAC